RNAcentral lists this ribosomal RNA (253 nucleotides) under uncultured bacterium. RNAcentral's name for it is "partial 16S ribosomal RNA". It matches the Rfam family "Bacterial small subunit ribosomal RNA", at positions 524 to 776 of the family's 1533-position model. The record is from RNAcentral.
UACGAAGGGGGCUAGCGUUGUUCGGAGUUACUGGGCGUAAAGCGCACGUAGGCGGAUCGAUCAGUCAGGGGUGAAAUCCCAGGGCUCAACCCUGGAACUGCCUUUGAUACUGUCGAUCUGGAGUAUGGAAGAGGUGAGUGGAAUUCCGAGUGUAGAGGUGAAAUUCGUAGAUAUUCGGAGGAACACCAGUGGCGAAGGCGGCUCACUGGUCCAUUACUGACGCUGAGGUGCGAAAGCGUGGGGAGCAAACAGG